AUUGAACGCUGGCGGCAUGCCUUACACAUGCAAGUCGAACGGUAACAGGUUAAGCUGACGAGUGGCGAACGGGUGAGUAAUAUAUCGGAACGUGCCCAGUCGUGGGGGAUAACGUAGCGAAAGCUACGCUAAUACCGCAUACGAUCUACGGAUGAAAGCGGGGGAUCGCAAGACCUCGCGCGAUUGGAGCGGCCGAUAUCAGAUUAGGUUGUUGGUGAGGUAAAAGCUCACCAAGCCUGCGAUCUGUAGCUGGUCUGAGAGGACGACCAGCCCCACUGGAACGGAGACACGGUCCAGACUCCUACGGGAGGCAGCAGUGGGGAAUUUUGGACAAUGGGCGAAAGCCUGAUCCAGCCAUUCCGCGUGCAGGAUGAAGGCCCUCGGGUUGUAAACUGCUUUUGUACAGAACGAAAAGGUUUCUACUAAUACUAGGAGCUCAUGACGGUACUGUAAGAAUAAGCACCGGCUAACUACGUGCCAGCAGCCGCGGUAA
This 493-nucleotide ribosomal RNA is filed under the name uncultured bacterium. RNAcentral describes it as "partial 16S ribosomal RNA". It matches the Rfam family "Bacterial small subunit ribosomal RNA", at positions 30 to 523 of the family's 1533-position model. The record is from RNAcentral.